Long non-coding RNA from Nerophis lumbriciformis (worm pipefish), 949 nucleotides. RefSeq lists it as uncharacterized. The record is from RefSeq and is a predicted model, not a curated record. Lineage: Eukaryota; Metazoa; Chordata; Actinopteri; Syngnathiformes; Syngnathidae.
UUUAACCGGUUCAAACAAAGGAUUUCGAAUUAAACACAUGGAUGACAAGUAAUGAGAUGAUAAGUGACAUAAAAGUUGGUUGACAAACUCGAGUAAAUGAGCUGAAUACAUAAAAUUAGGAGGUAAAAGUAGACAGCACUGUAUGGGGUAAGAAAAAAUACAUAUUGUAUUGUAUUGUAUUAAUGCUUUAAAUGUGUAGUUCUCAGACUACUAGUGGUACGUGGGCUCCAUCUAGUGGUACGCCAAAGCAGAGCCGGCCCAAGGCAUAAGCGCACUAUGCGCUUGCUUAGGGCCCUUCCAUUUUCUACCGCUUAUUCCCUUUGGGGUCGCGGGGGCGCUGGAGCCUAUCUCAGCUACAAUCGGGCGGAAGGCGGGGUACACCCUGGACAAGUCGCCACCUCAUCGCAGGCUUGCUUAGGACCCCGCGGCAAUUAACAAAAAAUUCUUAUUUUUUAUUUUUUGCAUGUACGAGUCUGACUGAUGAUUUCUAAAUGAUCAAAGAUAUAUUAUUGUACAAAAACACAAUUUUAGGUCAACAGAGUGCUGCUGCUGAUCUAGGCCUAGUGAUUCUUCCUGCCUCUCUUUAAAUGUAAAGCUGCCUCUGCUGCACCUGUGACGUUUGCCGCCUGCCGUGCGUGCAAUGCCAGUGCGCACUGGGCAUCAAAAGCGCAGAUAGAGGCAAAACAAUGUCACCAAAAAGGACAUAUCCUUCAGGUGCAGAAAAAAAGGAAGAAGAAGAAAGUGGAAGAGGAGAAAAACUGCCAUGAUAAAGGAGCAUUGUUAAAAUACUUUGGAGGCACAGAAUCAGCCCAGAGCCAGUCCACAUCCUCAGGCUCAACUGUGAGUGAUGAAUUAGGUCCAUCUCCAUCCUCUACAGUGCUCUCUCACACACCUCCAUCCUCUGUGCCCACUGUCCCCUCCAUGUCUGAAACCACAGCUGAUUUAUCUA